This 253-nucleotide ribosomal RNA is filed under the name uncultured bacterium. RNAcentral's name for it is "partial 16S ribosomal RNA". It matches the Rfam family "Bacterial small subunit ribosomal RNA", at positions 524 to 776 of the family's 1533-position model. The record is from RNAcentral.
UACGUAGGGUGCGAGCGUUGCCCGGAUUUAUUGGGCGUAAAGGGCGCGUAGGCGGCUCUGCACGUCCGUUGUGAAAUCGCCCGGCUCAACUGGGCGGGGUCAGCGGAUACGGCAGAGCUCGAGCAAGCUAGGGGGCAAUGGAAUUCCCGGUGUAGCGGUGAAAUGCGUAGAGAUCGGGAGGAAUACCGAUGGCGAAAGCAACCGUCUGGGCCUGAACUGACACUGAGACACGAAAGCGUGGGGAGCAAACAGG